Pelobates cultripes (western spadefoot toad) is the source of this 219-nucleotide non-coding RNA. NCBI's taxonomy places the organism in Eukaryota, Metazoa, Chordata, Amphibia, Anura, Pelobatidae. The record is from the annotation of a GenBank genome assembly.
CUACACCUCUACAUGCACACAUAUACUCUAUACAAAAACAUGCUUACAUUCAAAUUCACAAACACUGCUCACAAAUACAACCCUACAAGAAUGGCAAAAUGAUAGAUCCCCAGCUGGCAUAGCAUCGCGGAAGUUGUAAGACAGAUGGGUAUCUAUCUUUUCUCCACUCUUGCGCUAUAGGGGAGACCCAAAAAAAAUUCUUACACCACAGCCCUCUCU